GGAAGUGGGAUGACGUCAAGUCCUCAUUGGCCUUUACUGGUCCAGGGCUACACACGUGCUACGAAUGGGACUGUACAGAGGGUAGCGACCUCGCGAGAGCAAGCCAAUCCCAAAAAGCAGUCCUUAGUUCGGAUUGGAGUCUGCAACUCGACUCCAUGAAGCUGGAAUCGCUAGUAAUCGCGGAUCAGCAUGCCGCGGUGAAUACGUUCCCGGGCCUU
This 218-nucleotide ribosomal RNA is filed under the name uncultured Desulfococcus sp. Its description in RNAcentral is "partial 16S ribosomal RNA". It matches the Rfam family "Bacterial small subunit ribosomal RNA", at positions 1168 to 1382 of the family's 1533-position model. The record is from RNAcentral. Lineage: Bacteria; Pseudomonadati; Thermodesulfobacteriota; Desulfobacteria; Desulfobacterales; Desulfococcaceae.